UGCUGGGGGCCCGCAGGCGCGGUUGUUACACACUGAAUCGCAUCCGUCGCCCAGUGUGCAGCAAGGCAAUAAUUACACACUCGAGAGAGACAUUGAUUAUUUAUCCCAGAGCUGCGCGAGCCUGGGUGCGCGGGGUACUCCACAAACCAAGCACGCCAAUUAUCAAAACUUUUUACUAUUUAUACAUUCUAGCCGACAAAAGAAAUUCCUGUUCAUUGGCUAGCAUUGGCUAGUUACAUGGUUCUCUUAAUUAUCAGAAUUCUAUCUUCUGUUGUUAAUGAUUCCCUCAUUUCUUGUGCUAAUUAGUCCGCGUGCUCAGUGUUUCUCUUUGGGUUGGUGGGCCAUGAGUCGGUGGUCGUGACUCCCCUACCACAAUUACCUUUUACCCAGUCGGAGCUGACUCAGCACGGUUGCUGAGUUGUCUGUAUUAGUUUCUUCCUUAUCUUGGGAAUUCUGUUAAAUCCUGCAUUCUUUGUGUCCAGUAUCAAUGGACAUCCUUCUUCCCAGGCUUUGCCAACCUUCCCAUAGGCCUUGAGGUCAGUGGAACGUGUCAUGCCCUAAACUGUGACAAGGCUUGAAAGUAUACAAAGAUCAAGCAAAGAACCACUUUCUUAUGAAAAUUGUACAUAGCAACACUGUCUCUGCAGAGGGGCAUGUCCAGCACUCCCGUUGUCACAGCCAAAGUUGAUCCUACAGAGAUGCUACAAACACACACAUUUGUACAUGAGGAAAACGUUCCUGCAGCACAAAAUGAAGCCAUAAGGUACGCAAGAAAAAAGCCCAGUACAUGCCCUAACCUGCUAUGAUGGGCACAGUGACAAAGCUCUUCAUGUACUUCAAACUGAGGCAGAAGACACUUUCAGACUUAUGGAUAACCUGUGCUUUGCAAGACAGCCCAGAUGUGACUGCUGCCCCGGGCAAACCCAAGUUCAUGGCAGAGUAGUGGGUCUGGAUGUGUUCCACUGAGAACACCGAUGGUUUCAGCUGCUUGGCUGUUGUGAGCAGGGUGGUCACUGCCACUCACUCGCUUUCCAAGGACACCUGUGACCUGUCAGCCUGUCCCAGUGCGCAACAGCAGUAAGAAAAAACUAAGUUACUUGGUAGGAAAUUCUCCUCUUGAGGAAGACUACAGUAGAGAUUGAAAAAAAUUUUAGAAAAGAAUUCUAUGGAUAUUCAGAGGCAUGAAAGGGCUUCCAUACAAGAAACAACGACGUAGACUCAACAGUCUGAAAAAGAGAUGACUAAUAACAGGGUCUCACACAAAAGGAUUGGAGAGAAAAAAAGAAAUUCCACAAGAGACAACAGGAAUCAUCCAGUUCCAGCUUGUCAGAUGUCCUGUGUCCAAUGUGUGUUGCCACCUGCCCAUGGAUAAACUCUCUUUCAGUCAUGUAACUUAAGAGAUGAAGACCUUUCUAAUUAAUCAACAAGUGUGACAAAUAUAACAGGUACAUUGCAUUUGUAGGGAGUGAAAGAAACAGAGUCAAAAUCCAAUACUGUGACAAACUGAAGAAAAGAUUUAUGGUAUAAACCUUUUGAGUAAAUUGUUAAUAAAUUUUUCUUUCCACCACUAAAGCUUCUACCAGCACUGCUAGUUUUGGCAGCAGAAACCACUGCAAGAGAAGCCUGGAAUAUGUGCAAGAGAGCUGCUACAAACCAGACUUUUUAUCAGUUCUCUUGUUAAAAUAUCUGCCAGUAUUAACCAUUGGGUUUAGCCUUCAUGCUUCCCUACAUUACAUUUGGUGCUCCUUCUGUCUCUUUAUGAAGGAUUACAUUGCCCUAGUUGAAUCCCUCAACAAAAAAAUCACUAAAGGGCACAGAAAGGCUUUAACUACACUUUUUUAAAUUGCACACUCAAGGAUGUCAGACUGCUGGAGUGAGACCAACAGGUUUGUCCUUCUGCAACUGUUACUGUCCUAAACUUUGUUUGUUGUGAGAACAUGCAGAUAAUGCAUUAGCUCAGCUUGAUAAAGCACAAUGGCUAUUAAAAAACAAAAGUAAGCCUGAAAAAUGCAACAUAUUUCUCAGUAUCAUCCUUGAAUGACUGCUCCCCAUGCUUUUUAUUAGGAAGAUUCAAAGAUGCCAGUAACCUUACAGCUGGUGACGGUAAUAGCAGAGGGUAACAAGACAGAAAUAAUGAAUGCCUCCUUGUUAAGCAGUGUUGUUUGUGCUGUUCCAGGAGAGAUCUGCCAAGAACUUUUCAUGCAAACCUUAUUUUUCUGGGAUCUGUAACUUGGCAGCAAAAAAAUUCCAGGAUGAUACCCAGUUCAAAAUAAUUCAGAUUACAAGCUUUAAAAUAUAUUUUUGAUUUUUGGAACAAAUUAAAUUUAGACUAAACAAGAUAAACACUUUAGUACUUCAUGUAUUUUUGUUGCUUUAUUGAAAGAAAAUUUGUGGUUAUCAAGUUUGCACCUCAGAUAAUUUUAUGUUUUCUAGCUCUUGGGUAUUAAAUAAGUCUCAAGUACUACAGUGUGAAAGGAGACUUUGUGCUGUAUGGUCAAGAUUUCACUGAAGUGUAUUUUCUUUUUAAGGAAGACUGUAUGAAAUACAUAUGAAACACUCCUUAUUUUAUCUGCCAAACAAUUCAGUGGAAUAAAUCUGUGCUAAUUCUUAAUACAACUCAGCUGACCUAGGUAUAAUGCCAGGUUGUGGAAAAAAAAAAAGGCUAUUUAACAUUUAGCCCAAAUUUCAAUGUGAAAUUAUGUCAGGUUGUUUUUGUUUUGUAUUUGAACAAAUGAUUCAAAGCUUUGAGCCACACAAAAGUCCAAUUUCAGUGUACCCAUUUCAUUUUUUGCCUCUUGACUCAUUACAACCAGCUAAUUUUGUAGAGCUCCUGGCCAAAGCAACAUUCUUUCCUGUGGCAACUAGCAUGAUAUACAGAAAUUAGAUUUCAGGCACAAAAUUAGAUUUCAGCCCAAGCUAAGGAAGCUUUCUAUCAGGUAAUAGCCAGGUGUCAAGAAACAAGAAGGCUGCCAUAGUUGCCUGAGUACUGGAAUUGGUGGCUCAGCCUACACCUAUGAGGAAUAAACCUCCAGCAACUCAAAACUAAAAGGAGAUAAUCAAAACAUAUAAAUAUCAUCAAUAUCAAUUACUUUUCUUAAUACAUAUGGUGAGGUCAUUUCAAGGAAACACCAGAAAGAACAGGCCAGAAAAAAACUUUAAAAAUAUUCUACUGAUUUUCCCUAGAUCACGUUAUCCCCCAAAACAGCUCAACCUACCUUACAGUUGGAGACAAAUCAAAACUAUGGAAGUCUAUGAAACCUCAGUUCCUUUGAGAUUAUUUGCAAAUCAGCUAACAUGCUGGGUGUACAAAGACAUUACCAUUCUUGGAGGGUUUGCAUGAACUGGAACUUGGAGCAAAAGGCAAGGCUGCCAAAAGGCUUCUGUCUUACUGACACUGUCUGCUCUGCAAGGAGCCACAAAGGGAGUCAGUGGUUCCAAGAGUGUGUUGGCCCUGGGAAGCAUGACAUGUCAUUCUUUAGUGAUUAAAGAGCCAGCAGAAGCCCAGACACCAUCUCCAUUCAGAUGGCUCCUAACCUUCUGUUGAUACACAAGGAACCUGUUCUCUAGCAGCAGUGAGGAUAUUUCUGUGGGUUUGGGCUCUUUUAGAUAACAAAAUCAGAGCAAUGUAGUAAUCAAAGCCCUUUUUUUGUUACCCUUUGCCUAGUCCUACAAUAUCUAACACCUGUAUUAUUCUCGUUCUGAACUAAAAUGGUUCAUCAGUCUGUUCAGCAUUUGCACCAUGGUAUCUUUGACUACAAGUCCUAUGAUGUGCUACAACAUAAACAGCAUGUGGUUUGGGGUUUUUUCUGUUUCUCUUGAACUAAUCCAUCUCCAGUUCAUCUCUUUACCCCCAAGGAAAAUCAAGUUUUAUUCUUAAUUAUACCAGUACAAUUCCACUUAAGAGCUUGGUGGUGAAAGACAAUAAAGCAUGGCUACAUGCCCUCUACCUUGAACACGCUUUCUUACAGAGACUGUUUUUGCAUCCCCAACACUUUUGGUGACCAUGACUUACUGCUUUUCCUACUUCUCAAAGUGCAGACUACCAACUGCAACAGAGACUUUCAAAAGCCCAUUUCAACAGUUACCCAACGCAUAGCAAAAUACUCACUCAU
Passer domesticus (house sparrow) is the source of this 4112-nucleotide long non-coding RNA. RefSeq lists it as uncharacterized. The transcript has 5 exons. Lineage: Eukaryota; Metazoa; Chordata; Aves; Passeriformes; Passeridae. The record is from RefSeq and is a predicted model, not a curated record.